Molecule: long non-coding RNA, 2867 nt
Organism: Nothoprocta perdicaria
Lineage: Eukaryota; Metazoa; Chordata; Aves; Tinamiformes; Tinamidae
Exons: 2
Source: RefSeq, a predicted model, not a curated record
CAUGGGGCUCAUAGCUGUUCCCUAUUUUCCUGAGGACUAUGAGAGUGAGUCUAUGAAAGAUACUGAGGUGGUGCUGCAAGUAGAGAUAAGGAAAGAUGAAAAAGUCUACUUCUCUGGGAGCACAAYGCUGCAAGGAUGCCUUAGUGGAGUCAAAAUUUGGGUCUAUCAUGACUUCAGGCUCACGAUGUCCAGGGAUGCUUCAUGGUCUACAAUAGAUUUGGGUCAGAGCCCUUGAGUAAGGAGAUAAAUCAAGAACUAUUUGAGUAAUAAUUCCUGGGAAGCCCCAGAAUCAGAGUGAUGAACCUUUGGAUGCUCUUUGUAGUGUGGAGAGUUCAAAAGUGCUGAGCUUAUAUAUCUCCAAGGAAGAUGUCACAGAGGCAGUAUGAGAGACUGAGCUUCCGUGAAUGACUUAAUAAAUUCACUAGAAGGAAGAGGACUACAAGUUCCUAUUGUGUGUUCUACCCAGUCUGUGAACUGCAGAGCUCUGCCACAACAGGUAGAUCUAGUAGACAGCUAUGGACCUUGUAAUAAAGCCUUUGAGCAGUGUAGCACACCUGGUUUCAACAUCUGUCCUGAACCUUUUCAUGGAACCUUGGCAAACCUUUCUGCAAACUCGAUCCAAGUUURGAGAAACCUCCAUGAGGAAAGAAUUAUUGUUUUGGACAGAAACAAGGUGAAGAUUCACCUUGAAGCAUUUCACAGCUUUGGAGCUUGCUGUAUCUGCCCAUGCUCCAGGCUGUGUUUGCUGUGGGUUUCUUGGUGUCACAGAUYCAAAGAAUCAUGUUGGCUGGAAGAGACCUCCAAAGAUCAUGUGCUCCAACCUCCUGACUCAAAACCUUACCUAUUAUUUCUCUAAAAGUGCAACUGAUCUUUUACUCUAGAGAUCCCCUCUGCUCUUCUGAGACAUGACACACUUUCAUCUUUCUUAAUGUUGUUACCAGUCUCUCAACAAAUAAGUCUUAAAAUCCUGACCUUUUUGAAUGUUUACUAUAGGCUGUAUUGAAGCCUUGAUGACUAUGAUGCAUAUAAUAGACCAGAGGAAACAAGGAAUAACAAGUUUCGUUGCCAUAGCAAAGGAUGAUCCAGUACUUUGGGAUCUAAAAAUAUUUCCUUCCUAUUAACCUCUCCAUUGUAUCUGCUCAAGGAGUACUGCUUGUAUUUUUAAAUACCAUCGGGGGGAAAAGGAAGAAAGAAUUAAUUCAUUAUACAGAGAACAGAGUUUUGGCCUGGAUGCCAAAUAGAGUGGUAAGCACAGUGGCAGGUCAGGAGGCUAGAGUUGAGAGUGGAAGGAUGGUUUCACAGUUGAAAGUCUGUGUUGAGAUUUGGAAAGGCUUAGCUCUGUUAUUGGCCCAUCCACAUACCCCUCACAUGAGAUUGGGAUGAUCCUUAUGUUUUUCUACUUCUGAUUCCUUCUGGACUCUUUUUCGUCUAGGUUUUCUGAUGAAACAUUUARUAAAGGCUGCUCUGUGCAUAGAACCAUUAUAAUGCUAUUAUUGCUAUUAUAUAUAUAUACACAAAAAAAUUAUAUAAUGCUAUUAUUAUUAUGCUGUAAAAUGUGGUCCACUUGACAACAGGGUGUCCAAGGACACCACUUGACGAGGAACCAUAAAUGCUCUAAUCUCAUAGGUUUGAAUACUGCUGAAGUUCCCUGAGCUUUAACAGUGAUGGACCUAGCGUCCAUGCAUGCAGAGCUGGUAGAAUUACAUUGCCCAUGAGCAUUUCCAGUGUAAGCACGGAAAGUCAAAAAGAUGGAAGAAUUACCAGUCUCUCCCUAGUUCUGUACCCUUCCCUUCCUUGGACUAUUCUGAUCUGCUAGAUUGAUCUGUUUCCAAGAGAUACCACACUCAGUUCAUGGAUGUAAAGUAGAUUUAUGUAAGAAAAGUGAACUCGAAGUACUUUAUUGCUGUUUCUGAUCAUCCGUCAUGUUUUGUAUAGCAUUUUAAACAGAAGUAGUCCUAUUAUUUCUGCAAUUUCUACUUUUUCCUUAAAAUGAAAGCUCUCAUUUCACUGUUUUGCAUUAAACUGCAUAUUGAGUUCUUGCUCUGCUGAGGUAAAGGGAGAUGAUAAAUUUCAAAUGGCAGAGUAUGAGUUGGAGACCAAAUAGGGAAACUCCUUGUUCCAGCCACUUGGGAAGAGCCUUGAAAGAUAUUCCUGGAACAAUCUGCUGCUCUGUCAGCUCCCAACAAUAGUCUUUGGGGUAUGUGCAAGCGAUCAUUGCUAUACCAUAAUGAGCCAGGAGGUCACCUGAGAUGUGAAAGAAGGCUGAAGUCUGACUGCAAUUGCUGAAAUUGUGAAAUCCACCUCUUCCUUGUCCUUGGCAUGAAAUUGUCAGGAGUUGUGCCACAUGGCCUCACAUCUACUCCAAUGGAAAGGGCAACUAAGGUAGGACUCCAGGCAGUUGGCAGAUGUUGGAAGCACACAUCCACAUCAUCUCAGGCUUUGGCCCUGAUCUAAGAGCUUACUGAAAACUGCAAGGUCUUCCAGGGAAUAGCUGACUCUGUUCUUUCUCUGUUUCUUACGUUAUGUUUUCCUAGGCAUCUCUCUUUGGCACUUGUUGCAAUCAAAAUCUUUCUUUGGGUCRCGUUUGCUUACGUCUUUUGUACUGAUCUUAUCUCGGCACAGGUUGAAAUCGGACAGUUUUGAUUUUCCUUUCCUUAAAAUGAAGUCAAUGCCAUUGGGUUACCGUGAUAUGUAGAAGAGUUAGGUUGAGUUUUCKAGCUAGUCCAUGGCAGGGCACGUCUAAACUGAGUGGUUGAUCAUGGUUUGCCCCACUCUGAGUUGGRACUGGCAAUGCUGAGCUGGAACAUAACCCAAGACAGUGGAGAGUUUUCUAGUUUUGGGUGCUCAAAUACAGCUAUAUCAUUUCC